This is a long non-coding RNA of Lolium perenne, 1192 nucleotides long. RefSeq lists it as uncharacterized. The record is from RefSeq and is a predicted model, not a curated record. Lineage: Eukaryota; Viridiplantae; Streptophyta; Magnoliopsida; Poales; Poaceae.
UCUCCGGCGUGUUGCUCCGCCGCCGUGGCGCCUCCUGUGCGAUUCCGAGCAGCCGCCGUCGUGCCUCUCACGCUCAAUCUACCCUGCGCCGGAGUUGGAGGAGCAGCAAGGGGCGGCGCUGGGACGGAGGUGGAGGAGCACGGAUUCGGCGCCAGCAGACUCCUCUACGAGUAAGGUCCUCCUCUUCCUUCUUUCUAUCCUCCACGGAUCGGGGCACACAUGAGAUGGCGCGGUCUGCGUGACUCCAUGAGAUCCAUGGAUGGCGGUUCUUCGGCCGGCGCGGGGAUGCGCGAUGGCUGCCGGUGCUCGAGAUCUGGCGGAUGGAGGGCUGCAGCGGCGGCGGGAUCGAGUUCUGGUCUCCAGCUUGCCCAUCCCCCACGUUUCCCUCUCCUCUUCCUCUCUGCUGUUGGCCACGCUGGCCAUGGCCCUCAAAUCCGACGCCUGCAUCUGCGAUGCUAGCAGCAGAUCUGGUUGGGAAAGCGUAAGGAGAUAAACAGCGAGAGAUUGUCUUAGCACACGGAUUCAUGAGUGCUGCAAAUUUAUAUAUAGUGCUUUGUACUGAUGUUUAAAGUUUAUUUAUACAAGUAUUGGAAAGAGGAAUACAAUAUUGCAUUUCUAAAGAAAUCAUCAUGUAGAUAUGUUUUUGUACUUUACUCAGCGAAAAUUGCAGCCAGUUAUUUUGAUAAUAUAUCUCAGUUUGUGUGUCCUUACUAUUCCUUAUUUAUGAAUUUGAGAAGAUUAAUUUCCACCUAUUGGUGCUGAAGGUCAAGCUGCUCACUUUCUUCUUGGAUGUGGACCAGUCUCCUCUGGUAUAGCAGAUCUCACAAAGGAUCUUCAUCAUCAGGACAACUCCAUGUUCCAGUCAGAAGGAUUCUAAUGGUUGUGCUGGGUGUUUGUAACGGUGAGGUUGAGCAUAUCGAUUUGUAUAAUGCACAGACCGCGAAUAAUGGUGUUGUGGUGACUGAUGCACUCACACAGUUUCCUGAAGGUAAAGUUGCUUUCAGUUGCUUAUUCAUCCUUGUCGGAUCUUGUUUAUAGCAUAUAUACUUGCUUUCAGUUGCUUAUGAUCUACUCAAGCUAGCAAAUUCCUUUUGUUGUACAGUUGGCCACUUUUGGCAUAUGUGAUAAUAUGCAUAUUUGUCAGUGUUCAUGGUACUACCUCCCUAUCACUCACACACCUAGAUAUUUUCUU